This 459-nucleotide ribosomal RNA is filed under the name Flavobacteria bacterium SC2. RNAcentral describes it as "bacterial SSU rRNA". It matches the Rfam family "Bacterial small subunit ribosomal RNA", at positions 158 to 615 of the family's 1533-position model. Lineage: Bacteria; Pseudomonadati; Bacteroidota; Flavobacteriia. The record is from RNAcentral.
UUGGAUUAAUACCCCAUAGCGUUAUGAUGUGGCAUCACAUUAUAACUAAAGUUCCAACGGUACAAGAUGAGCAUGCGUCCCAUUAGCUAGUUGGUGUGGUAACGGCAUACCAAGGCAACGAUGGGUAGGGGUCCUGAGAGGGAGAUCCCCCACACUGGUACUGAGACACGGACCAGACUCCUACGGGAGGCAGCAGUGAGGAAUAUUGGUCAAUGGGCGCAAGCCUGAACCAGCCAUGCCGCGUGCAGGAUGACGGUCCUAUGGAUUGUAAACUGCUUUUGUACAGGAAGAAACACUCCCUCGUGAGGGAGCUUGACGGUACUGUAAGAAUAAGGAUCGGCUAACUCCGUGCCAGCAGCCGCGGUAAUACGGAGGAUCCAAGCGUUAUCCGGAAUCAUUGGGUUUAAAGGGUCCGUAGGCGGUUUUAUAAGUCAGUGGUGAAAUCUGGUCGCUCAACGA